RNAcentral lists this long non-coding RNA (906 nucleotides) under Ananas comosus (pineapple). RNAcentral describes it as "long non-coding RNA (ACOM_LNC003172)". Lineage: Eukaryota; Viridiplantae; Streptophyta; Magnoliopsida; Poales; Bromeliaceae. The record is from RNAcentral.
CAUCACUUUUCAUAUAAUUACAAGAAAAAAUUAGUACAACUUCACCAAUAAUAUCACUAUAUUAUCAUAUAUAUAUAUAUAUAUAGAGAGAGAGAGAGAGAGGGAGAGAGAGAGAGUUGAGCUAGAAUGUUAUUGGUAACAAACGAACUCUGUUGCCACCCAUUUAUUUUCGAUGAUGGAGCCUCCAAAUUGACGAUCGGCACCGUUGAACAUAAUCUAUACCACUUGAAGCAUCUAGAAAUCAAAUUUCAAACUUUUUCGAUAUUAUUCUCUUGCCCAUCAAGUGAACACAAAAAUAAACGGAUGAAAAUGAAUAUCCUCUAAAAAGUUAUGAUAGGAAUCUUGUAAUCAAAAUCGAGAGCAAGGAUUUAAAUGCCGUGGCACGGGGUCGUGCCGGAAACUUGCCGGCACGGUACGGCAUGGUGCGUGCGGAGCCGUGCCGAUACGUGCCGGUUAAAAAAAUUCUUGUGUGCUGAGAUAUAAUAGCAUGAAAUAUUUAUUUUCUUUAGCAACAAAAUAUUCUAACUAUCUUUUUAUCACAUCUUUUGAACUUUAUUGAGGAAAUUACUUACUAAUUUAAAGAAUAGAGAGUUUUGAGCUGUGCCAUCGGCACGGGGUCUGUAUCGCACCGGUAUCUUGUUGGCACGGUACGGCACGGUAGAUAUGGCCCGUGCCGACGGGCACUUAAAACCGUGAUCGAGAGUAUAGAUUUUGUUCUAAAUAGUUUAAAAAAAUUUCUAAUUAAAAUUUAAUUGAUUUGGAUAUUUUUACACUGUUAAACGAGAAAAUACCUCAUAUCAAUCAUUAAAAUUACAAAUUUUGAAACCCUUUGAUCAUUAGGUCAAUGAUGUUGAAAAGAUUUAAAAUUUAUUUUCUAGAUACUUCAAGUGGUAUAAAUCAUAUUCA